GACGAACGCUGGCGGCGUGCCUAAUACAUGCAAGUAGAACGCACAGUUUAUACCGUAGCUUGCUACACCAUAGACUGUGAGUUGCGAACGGGUGAGUAACGCGUAGGUAACCUGCCUGGUAGCGGGGGAUAACUAUUGGAAACGAUAGCUAAUACCGCAUAAUAUUGAUUAUUGCAUGAUAAUUAAUUGAAAGGUGCAAUUGCACCACUACCAGAUGGACCUGCGUUGUAUUAGCUAGUAGGUGAGGUAACGGCUCACCUAGGCGACGAUACAUAGCCGACCUGAGAGGGUGAUCGGCCACACUGGGACUGAGACACGGCCCAGACUCCUACGGGGGGCAGCAGUAGGGAAUCUUCGGCAAUUGACGAAAGUCUGACCGAGCAACGCCGCGUGAGUGAAGAAGGUUUUCGGAUCGUAAAGCUCUGUUGUAAGAGAAGAACGGGUGUGAGAGUGGAAAGUUCACACUGUGACGGUAUCUUACCAGAAAGGGACGGCUAACUACGUG
RNAcentral lists this ribosomal RNA (505 nucleotides) under uncultured bacterium. RNAcentral describes it as "partial 16S ribosomal RNA". It matches the Rfam family "Bacterial small subunit ribosomal RNA", at positions 28 to 507 of the family's 1533-position model. The record is from RNAcentral.